This 1548-nucleotide long non-coding RNA is filed under the name Pongo abelii (Sumatran orangutan). RNAcentral describes it as "lncRNA (ENSPPYG00000040259.1)". Lineage: Eukaryota; Metazoa; Chordata; Mammalia; Primates; Hominidae. The record is from RNAcentral.
CUUUACGUUGGGCACCUUGUUAAUUUUUAGCCUGUGCCCUUCCCCACCUUUGCCCUCCCAGUGGUUGGUAUGUGGGAAGCCCAUCUCAGUUCCUGUGACUUCAUGUCUCAAACCAAGGAUGAGCGUCUGGUCUCUGCUAUGAUGGUGGUAUCUGAGGCCUUUCCCUGCCCAGUCUGGUGCCUGCCCCACAUUGUACCAGACACUGGAUUCCUGGACCCCCCUUCUCCUUUCCUUUCUUUCCUUCAGGUCACGCAGCCCUGUACUGUAUCCAGCACCACAGAAACCUCAGUGUUUUUCCUCUGCUGGUUUGGGGCACAAGGAAGCCUUAGGGUAUGGGGAAAGGCUGUUAUUACCUAGAGUUUACUCCCAGGCCAGGGGGCUGCCAUCUUCUUCACAGACAUCCCUGAAAGGAAGCCCCUUUGGGGCAGGGAGGUGAGGACUUCAUCUCAACAUAGGCUGGUGGUUGGUAGGGGAGCUUUUUCUUUUCUUUCCCUUUUUUUUUUUUUUUUUUUUUUUUUUUGGGUAACAUGUUAGGAGUUAAUGUUGCAAAGAGUAGUUUACAUCUUCACUUUCUGAAGACACUUGAAUUUAGGACCGAUGUAUCUGUGACAAGCAUGCCAGAAGUGGCAGGGGCCAUCAGGGCUAACCACUUCACACCCACCAUCAUCCCAUGGGGAUCCAAGACCUGAGAUAAAGCAACAGCCUGCCCAGAUCCCUCUGUUCAUCCUAUCCCUUCCGAGGUUGGUCCAUGCCAACAUAACCUCUGGGCAUCAGACAUCAGCAGGUCUGUGUUCUCAGCCCUGUUAAGGGGCAGGUUUCUCUUUAGCCCUCUUCCUGCACCUGGGAGCAAAGGCACUACCAGUAGAGAAGGGCCAUCCAGCCCUGCCCCAGCCUGGACCCCUGGGGCUCAGAUAGAUGUGCUGAGCCCCUAUGUCAAAGUUGUUAAAUGUUUUUGUUUUGUUCCAUUGUAGCUUUUUUUUUUUUUUUUUCCCCCUUUCCUGGUGAUUGAUUUUACAAAAGAAAGUAAGCUGCUUAGAAGGCCCUGGAAGGGAAGUGAGGAGGAGGGACAAGGAAGAUGACUAGUUACGGAGGGUGAGGGUUGUUUUUUUGCCAAAAAAGCCUGGGUAGAGUGAUCUGAAUUAUCUGGCACCCUCCUGAAUGGAACCCCAGAGUACCUCCUGUGUGGAAGGGUCCCUGGAUUUUCCCUAACACCCACCCUCUCCCCCUUCAGCCAUGCUGAUGGCAGAGAAGAUAAGAACUUGGAGCCCAUUUCUCACUGGAGAGGAAAACUUGUCAUCUGGCUUUGCGGAGAAGGUUCCACCUUACGCUCGUAGUACAUUAUCUUUACUAUGUGCUAGGAUAUCAUAUUUAAAAGGACAAAAAAAUGUAAAAUACUUGAAUGAGCUUGUAUUAUAACAUUAAUAUUAUUGAGAGUAUCUGCUUUCCAGGCUGAAGUGAUUCAUUCAUUAUUCUAGUCCUGCUUUAGUCCUUUGUAAUUUGUGGUAAUUAUGCUUUUCUUUUUAAUACAAAAAAAUGUAUAAAAAUAAA